This is a long non-coding RNA of Fundulus heteroclitus (mummichog), 1097 nucleotides long. RefSeq lists it as uncharacterized. NCBI's taxonomy places the organism in Eukaryota, Metazoa, Chordata, Actinopteri, Cyprinodontiformes, Fundulidae. The transcript is spliced from 3 exons. The record is from RefSeq and is a predicted model, not a curated record.
AUAUAAGCAUUUAUGGAGCUCCGGAAGGACUAGGGGGCCCUAAGCAGCUGCUUAGUCCACUUAUGCAUCAGCUCAGAUCUAAAUGGGAUCAGCAUUACAUAACUUAAUUUAAGACAAAGACAAUAGCUGAAUACUUAGGAUUUAACUAAACUGCAAAAUAAAUAUGUAAUUUUUGUUAUUAUGUUUUAGUAUUUGAUCCAUCAAAACAUUUUUAUACCCCCCUCACACUUAUAAGUCUCUGGAGCCGCCACUGGCUGUAGCCCCACCGUCCAGUCUCUAUAAUGGCUGCCAUCUCACACACAUCCUGAGAUUUGACGUCCCCACCACACCCAUGCCCAUCCCCCCUCAGCGCUCCCUCCAGGGUUUGCCAAAAUGAUCAAACCCAGCAGAUUUAACUGGUGUGAAACCCACAAAAUCUCCAUUACAAAAAAUACCUUUCACUCCAGACGCAUUACUAUGGGAGAUUACAAUUUUUUUCUUUUAUUUCAGUUUUAUUAAGUAAUUGAUAUGCGGUAAAGUUGUGAAGGCAGAGUUAAGGUGUUAUUAGUUGUGUACACAGGGCUGAGCCGUCAGCCUCAGCAAGCUGCUUUUUGCACCCAACCGGGAACUCCAGUGUGAGCCGGAGACAAAAUCAAGCGCUCCUUUAUGACUGCUACACACCUGCAACUACGGAGGGAAAUUAGACCUUCAUGCUACCACUUGAGGAAGGAGAACCAACAUAGCUGUACAGAAAAUGGACCAAAAGCCUCACUCUCGUCGUCUCGUGAUAGUCAGAGCACAACCUGAUAGAUGUGAGGCUCGUUAUAAGGCGGCCUGUGUAAAGACAGCAAUUGAAGAAAAGGAGUGGACGUCUUCUCUGCAUCAAAAAGGUUUAAUGCAAUCACAACAGUCAUCCAGCGAGAGUGACAAUUCCAUCAUCCUUGGUCCAACGCCAGCUGCAGUAAUCCAGGACAUGAGCGUGCCAGAGCUCACAAGAACCAACAGUGUGAUUGUAAGUUUAUCUACAAGCGUCAUUGACACUAAAAAGGAGGGUGACUCAACUGAGAGGGAUGCUGCAACUUCAUCUUCUAGAUCAUCAGGUAUGGAUGAAAUGUCAA